GACGAACGCUGGCGGCGUGCUUAACACAUGCAAGUCGAACGGUAAGGCCCUUCGGGGUACACGAGUGGCGAACGGGUGAGUAACACGUGGGUGAUCUGCCCUGCACUUCGGGAUAAGCCUGGGAAACUGGGUCUAAUACCGGAUAGGACCACUGCCUGCAUGGGUGGUGGUGGAAAGCUUUUGCGGUGUGGGAUGGGCCCGCGGCCUAUCAGCUUGUUGGUGGGGUGAUGGCCCACCAAGGCGACGACGGGUAGCCGGCCUGGGAGGGUGACCGGCCACACUGGGACUGAGAUACGGCCCAGACUCCUACGGGAGGCAGCAGUGGGGAAUAUUGCACAAUGGGCGCAAGCCUGAUGCAGCGCCGCCGCGUGAGGGAUGACGGCCUUCGGGUUGUAAACCUCUUUCAGCACCGACGAAGCGCAAGUGACGGUAGGUGCAGAAGAAGGACCGGCCAACUACGUGCCAGCCGCCGCGGUAA
Molecule: ribosomal RNA, 478 nt
Filed under: uncultured bacterium
Lineage: Bacteria
Description: partial 16S ribosomal RNA
Rfam family: Bacterial small subunit ribosomal RNA
Source: RNAcentral